RNAcentral lists this ribosomal RNA (485 nucleotides) under uncultured bacterium. Its description in RNAcentral is "bacterial SSU rRNA". It matches the Rfam family "Bacterial small subunit ribosomal RNA", at positions 33 to 507 of the family's 1533-position model. The record is from RNAcentral.
GAGACGCUGGCGGCGUGGAUUAGGCAUGCAAGUCGAACGGUAUCAUCCUUUCGGGGGUGAGAGAGUGGCGAACUGGUGAGUAACACGUAGGUUAUCUACCCUCAAGACGGGGACAACCCAGGGAAACUUGGGCUAAUACCGGAUGUGAGCAACUUUUAGUUGUUUGAAAGGUGGCGUAAGCUGUCGCUUGGGGAUGAGCCUGCGUCCUAUUAGUUAGUUGGUGAGGUAACGGCUCACCUAGGCAAUGAUAGGUAGGCGGCCUUAACGGGUGGUCGCCCACACUGGGAUUGAGAUACGGCCCAGACUCCUACGGGAGGCAGCAGUCGAGAAUAGUCUACAAUGGUCGGAAGACUGAUAGUGCGACGCCGCGUGAACGAUGAAUCCCUUCGGGGUGUAAAGUUCUUUUAUAUGUGAGCAGUGCUUCUUAUAUUAACAGUAUGGGGAGAGAGAUAUUAGCAUAUGAAUAAGCAACGGCUAACUCCGUG